This 27368-nucleotide long non-coding RNA is filed under the name Zostera marina. RNAcentral describes it as "long non-coding RNA (ZMAR_LNC000904)". The stretch from base 9614 to 9687 matches the Rfam family "tRNA". Lineage: Eukaryota; Viridiplantae; Streptophyta; Magnoliopsida; Alismatales; Zosteraceae. The record is from RNAcentral.
UUUAAAUUGUCCCUUACAUGUUAUUGUUUAGUAUAAAUACCAACUCAAUUCUCACACCUUUACAUCAUCAAUCACUUCUAAUUCUUUUCCAUCCAAUAAAAGACCGCACUUUAUUUUAUUCAAUAACAUUUUGGAAAAAAAAUGAAAUCCUCCUCCGCCAUCCUCCUCCUCCUCCUGGCUUUUUUUCUCUCUGCCACCGCCCAUUCAGCUGAAGCACCUACAAGUUCACCACUUUUAUCGAAUAUUUGUGAGUCUGCCGAGGAUGAUGAUAAAGCAUAUUGUCGUCAUUUCAUGAAUGAUAACCCAGAAUGCUCAGACAUAAAAUGUCUUAUGCAAAAAUCCAUCAGUGAUGCUGACAACGCAGCUUCCCUCUGCCUCGUAAUAGGUUCAGAAACUUUAAAGACAACGAAAUACAUUCGAGCAACCAAAAAAUGCAUCAGACAUUUCGAGUCCGUUGAAGAAAUCAUCAAAGGUGCAGAUACAUUGGUUAAAGAUGAAAAGUAUGAUUUGAUCGCAGAAAAGUAUGAAUUGAUCUACCAUCAUACAGAGAAAUGUGUUGUAGCCUACGGUGCUGGUACAAAUCCUUUCAACUUGGGGAUGAGGAAGGUCCUUAAAUCUUUGGACGUAGGAACUGUCAUCAUGGAAUAUAAAAAAACUCACUAAAUUGAAGAUGGAGAUCCAAACGAGAUCAUUGAUUAUCUCAAUUAUAUUAUGCUAAUUAUGAGGGAGCGGCUCUUGAUUAUAUAUUCAGCUCAUUGUGAAUUUUUUGUGUGAAUUGAAGUGUCUAAAUUUUACAAAAACAAAUUCUAUUUUCUUUUUUAUGAUAUGAAUUGAAAAAUUUAUUAUCUGUCCUUGUCAAUUAAGAAAACGCUUCAAUUUCACCAUUUUCAUCUGGACCAGAGCAGGUCAUUACAAAAAAUAAAACAUUGUGUGACUGAGUUUUGAUGAUGAAAAUCUGUCAUUACAAGUGAUCAGUGACGGAUUUUCGUCAUCAAAAGACCAUCAUGACGAUGACCGUCAGGAAAUCACCAUAUCCGUCAUUGAUAAUCUGUCAUCUAUUAUUUCAUCUCAUUUCCCACCAAAAAAUAAUACAUGGCGGAAAUCCGCCACUAAAUCUGAAAUUUUUCGCGGGAACUAUUAGAUUAGAUAACAGUAUUAGUUAAAGCAACAACUAUAGGUUGUUAGAAUAAUAGUUACAAGUAUAGACUAUAAAUAUGUAAUCAAACCAUUAAUAUAAUCAAUACAAUUUGGUUAUCAUUUACACCAUCUUAUAUGGUAUCAGUUUUUCGGGUUUAGAAUCAAGGAUGACGUUUUCCGCUGCAGAUUCGGGCGCAAAUGCUCCAUCAUCAAGGAUAGUGAUGAAGUCAAUGAAAUGCGUCCAACUGGAUAAGAGUAAUUACUACUCAUGGGAGGCACAAUUUUCGGCCAUGCUUAGGGGGUUUCAACUCUUCGAUUACGUUCUUGGGAAGGUUGAACUUUCGUCGCCAUCAUCGAUCUAGCAAGAUCAAUUGAUUUUGAGCUGGAUCUUGACCGGGAUCUCAACGACCAUUCUUCCACAAGUGGCAUCUCGGAAGACAUCGGCGGAGAUUUGGGAUGCAUUACGCAAACUCUACUCAUCGGGAACACAAGCAAGACAACUUUAUAUUCGCCUUCAACUCCAAUCGAUUCGAAAGGGAGGAUUAAAUAUUGAAGAGUACCUGUCAAAGAUUUCUAUUUUAAAAGAUGCUCUCGCAUCAACAGGAGAGGGACUUAAAGAAUCAGAAAUUGUGCUAAUCACCUUGGGAGGAUUGGGGGANNNNNNNNNNNNNNNNNNNNNNNNNNNNNNNNNNNNNNNNNNNNNNNNNNNNNNNNNNNNNNNNNNNNNNNNNNNNNNNNNNNNNNNNNNNNNNNNNNNNAAAAGGGGACACACGACGCCGGAUUGCUAUAAUCGUUUAAACCUAGAACGAUUUCCGCCGGCGCAUGGGAGGGCAAUUUCGUCUUCUGGAAUAACUGGAAAUUUUAACAAUACACCCUCCUCAUUUGGAACAAAUGGGAAUUUUCAUAAUACACCUUCAAGUCACAAUACAAAUGGGAAUUUUAGAAACACACCCUCGGCUAAUCUAAUUUAUGCAGAAGGUCCAACAAUAAUGUGGUACCCCGAUUCAGGGGCGACAUCACACGUUACAGCCGCACCUGAAAAUAUCCAAUACCCCAGAGUGUAUAAUGGUAAAAAUUUUACGACGGAUGGGAGUCCAUUGUCAAUUUCUUACUCUGGUCAAAGCAGAGCUAUUAUAGAUUCUAAUAAUUUCAUUCUUAAUGAUUUACUACUAGCCUUCGUUCUAAUAUAGUACCGGUAGCCUUCAGACGAAACUACAGGUGCUGGUCCCCAGAUAUCUGCAUAUAUGAUCUCAAGAGGAUAAUUGUAUGUAGAAUUUGUUGCUUUAUGAUUUAUUAAAUGGCUUUUAGCUAUGAUACAUGAUUCACAAUCAGAGAAUUUUUGAGUAGACAUGACAAUAUGAUUUUUAUUAACCAACUCUUUAACUGCUCUGAAGUGUAAGUGUCCUAGCCGUGAGUGCCAUUGAUCUCCUGUAACCGCCGAGAGUGCUUCUUCAUUUUUCCCGAUUUUUAGUGGUAGUUGAUAUAAUCCAUUUUUCUCCCGACCUUCAGCCAGCACCUUUUUAGUGUCGAGAUCCCGAACUUUGACACUCUGUUUGUCAAAUUUAAUACAAACUCUGUUGUCAGCACAUAAUCGUUGCACAGAUAAUAAAUUUCUCGAACUAUCUGGUACUAGUAGCAUAUCAUUCAAACAUAAAUUGAUAUUGUUAAUUUUAGCUUUGAAUUUCCCCAAUUGAGUAAUAGGCAUACUAUCCCCAUUAGCCACGAAAACAGAAGAAAUACCUUGAUAAGGUUGUGCAUCCUGGAUUAGCGUACCUGACUCAGUUAUAUGUGUCGUUGCUCCUGAGUCGGGGUACCACAUUGACAUGGCACUACGAUUCACGGCCAAGUUUGCCUCAGGUUAGGGUUGAGUUGCAGAAGAAAUUCCUACUGGAAUUAAAGUUCGUCCAUGUUUUGGGGGAAAACGUGCAAAAUUCACUCUAUUGUAACAAUUAAGAGCACCAUGCCCCUUUUUAUUGCAGAUUUGGCAGGGAUGCGUUCGCGCGGAAGAGGAGAAAUCGGAAUCGCGCGAUUUUGUAGAGGCAGAGGAGUCGGAUGCGGCUCUGGAUUUUGCCGCGACGUUCGCCUCCAGGGUUCUUGAUUCCGACGACUGCUGAAAACGUAAAUCAUGUUCGAUUAGGAGCUGCUGGAAUCCGGCGAACAACAUGCUAUGGUCAAAUCUGGUGGUGAUUGAUGUUACGAACGCUUGAAAAUCGACGCCGAGUCCUCCUAGCGCAAGAAGAAUUAGUUGCGAUUCCUUCAUUCCUUCACCACAAUCCGAGAGUUUGUCUUUGAGUAUACAGAUUUUUCGCAAGUAUUCUUUUACCGAAAGGUCAUUCUUCUUGAUACUUUGCAGUUGAGACCGCAAGUGAAGGAUCCGUGUCUCGGAGUCCGAUGAAUGCAAUUGACGCAAGCAUUCCCAGACCGUAGCAGAUGUGGUGAGCGCAGCCACUUGGGGGAGAAUCGUCGGCGAGAUCGUCGACAAUAGCCAGCUAAGGAUGAGCUGGUCCUGCUGCUCCGCUAGAGGAUCAUCAGUCACAUUAAUCCUCCCUUCCACAUAUUCCAGCAGCUUAUACCCUCGGAGUAAUGCCGAGAAUUGAGCCUUCCAAGAGAAGUAGUUUUCCCCAUCAAGAGUAACACAUUUCAUAUAUUUCAUCAUGAUGACUUUUGUCGAUGAAGCAGGAGACGAGUUCUUACCGGCAUCUUGAGUCCCUGCAGCGAAAGAAGGAUUGGCAGAGCCGAAGCUGUUGGUUGGUGAUGAUACCAUAUUGAAACAGGGAAUGAGAGAUUCAAUGAAUGGAGCUAAGAUGAUGAAGAUGGCAAGAAUCGAAUGAGUAUUAUUGAUGGAGUGGUGGUGUUUAUAUACAAGUAUUAAACCUAUAACAAUUUCAAUUAGUUAAGAAGUUUCUAGAUUUAGUUAGUUACAAUAUGAAGUAAAUUUGUUUUGAACAUAAAAAUUGUAAACGAAGAAGGUCACUGGUAUAAAUGGUAUUAUUACUACAUUUCUGUUUUCUUUUGUUUUACAUAGGAUGUCGUCAACUAAAACUUGAUUCGUUAAGCUCGAGCUCGCGAGCCUAAAGCUCAAUAAGCUUGAUAAACUUAUCGAGCCGAGCUAGGACUUUUCAAGCUCGGCUCGAUAAACUCAUUAAAAGCUUUUUAAUAAUUAAAUAAAAUAUAUAUAUUAAGAGAUGGUAUUAAUUGAUAAAGAUUAUUGAAUAAAUUGCAAAAAAAAUUAAAUAAAAUCUAAAUCUAAAAAAAACUAAAUAUAGAUAUUUUUCUUAAAAUAUUUACAUUUUUUUUUUAAUUUGCAGAAUUGUGAGUUAAAUUUCAAGUUCGAGCUCGCAUUUGAACUCACGAGUUUCGAACCCGAGCCUGAACAAUUUCUUAACGAGUUGAGUCUGAGUCCGAGCUUGAACAAUUUCUUAAUGAGUCGAGUCCGAGCUCGGCCAAACCAGGCUCGACGAGUUACGAGGCGAGCCUGAGUCCGAAUCUAUAAAUAAAAGCUCGGUUCGUUUGACACCCUAGUUUACAUUAACAACACCUUAUCUAGAAUAAGUUAAACAUUAUGAAUCAUUCCUACAUUCACUCAAUACUUGUUAUAAAAAGCUUAAAAAACACAACAACAAAAAAUAUCACAACUAAGAAUUAAACUAAAUUUUGCAUGACUUUGAAUUUAACUGUUUUUUCCAUUACAAUUUUAAACAUGAAACCAAUGGCUUUAAAUUGUCCCUUACAUGUUAUUGUUUAGUAUAAAUACCAACUCAAUUCUCACACCUUUACAUCAUCAAUCACUUCUAAUUCUUUUCCAUCCAAUAAAAGACCGCACUUUAUUUUAUUCAAUAACAUUUUGGAAAAAAAAUGAAAUCCUCCUCCGCCAUCCUCCUCCUCCUCCUGGCUUUUUUUCUCUCUGCCACCGCCCAUUCAGCUGAAGCACCUACAAGUUCACCACUUUUAUCGAAUAUUUGUGAGUCUGCCGAGGAUGAUGAUAAAGCAUAUUGUCGUCAUUUCAUGAAUGAUAACCCAGAAUGCUCAGACAUAAAAUGUCUUAUGCAAAAAUCCAUCAGUGAUGCUGACAACGCAGCUUCCCUCUGCCUCGUAAUAGGUUCAGAAACUUUAAAGACAACGAAAUACAUUCGAGCAACCAAAAAAUGCAUCAGACAUUUCGAGUCCGUUGAAGAAAUCAUCAAAGGUGCAGAUACAUUGGUUAAAGAUGAAAAGUAUGAUUUGAUCGCAGAAAAGUAUGAAUUGAUCUACCAUCAUACAGAGAAAUGUGUUGUAGCCUACGGUGCUGGUACAAAUCCUUUCAACUUGGGGAUGAGGAAGGUCCUUAAAUCUUUGGACGUAGGAACUGUCAUCAUGGAAUAUAAAAAAACUCACUAAAUUGAAGAUGGAGAUCCAAACGAGAUCAUUGAUUAUCUCAAUUAUAUUAUGCUAAUUAUGAGGGAGCGGCUCUUGAUUAUAUAUUCAGCUCAUUGUGAAUUUUUUGUGUGAAUUGAAGUGUCUAAAUUUUACAAAAACAAAUUCUAUUUUCUUUUUUAUGAUAUGAAUUGAAAAAUUUAUUAUCUGUCCUUGUCAAUUAAGAAAACGCUUCAAUUUCACCAUUUUCAUCUGGACCAGAGCAGGUCAUUACAAAAAAUAAAACAUUGUGUGAUUGAGUUUUGAUGAUGAAAAUCUGUCAUUACAAGUGAUCAGUGACGGAUUUUCGUCAUCAAAAGACCAUCAUGACGAUGACCGUCAGGAAAUCACCAUAUCCGUCAUUGAUAAUCUGUCAUCUAUUAUUUCAUCUCAUUUCCCACCAAAAAAUAAUACAUGGCGGAAAUCCGCCACUAAAUCUGAAAUUUUUCGCGGGAACUAUUAGAUUAGAUAACAGUAUUAGUUAAAGCAACAACUAUAGGUUGUUAGAAUAAUAGUUACAAGUAUAGACUAUAAAUAUGUAAUCAAACCAUUAAUAUAAUCAAUACAAUUUGGUUAUCAUUUACACCAUCUUAUAUGGUAUCAGUUUUUCGGGUUUAGAAUCAAGGAUGACGUUUUCCGCUGCAGAUUCGGGCGCAAAUGCUCCAUCAUCAAGGAUAGUGAUGAAGUCAAUGAAAUGCGUCCAACUGGAUAAGAGUAAUUACUACUCAUGGGAGGCACAAUUUUCGGCCAUGCUUAGGGGGUUUCAACUCUUCGAUUACGUUCUUGGGAAGGUUGAACUUUCGUCGCCAUCAUCGAUCUAGCAAGAUCAAUUGAUUUUGAGCUGGAUCUUGACCGGGAUCUCAACGACCAUUCUUCCACAAGUGGCAUCUCGGAAGACAUCGGCGGAGAUUUGGGAUGCAUUACGCAAACUCUACUCAUCGAGAACACAAGCAAGACAACUUUAUAUUCGCCUUCAACUCCAAUCGAUUCGAAAGGGAGGAUUAAAUAUUGAAGAGUACCUGUCAAAGAUUUCUAUUUUAAAAGAUGCUCUCGCAUCAACAGGAGAGGGACUUAAAGAAUCAGAAAUCGUGCUAAUCACCUUGGGAGGAUUGGGGGACAAAUUUGAAUCUUUUGUAACCGCAAUCACCACACCAUUCAAUCCAGACCUAACGUUCACCGGAGUAUGCGAGAUGUUGAUGGACCACAACCUCCGACUGAAGAAAUUGCGAGUUGCAGCCGUCGCCGGAAAUGCUGCUGCCGUCGUCGCCAAAAUGCCUCAACCGCCGCAGCAAGAACGACGCUACCAGAACACCUACGGCGGUGGACAGAAAUCGCAAAGAGGGGAUCUCCGCUGCCAGAUCUGCUCGAAAAGGGGACACACGGCGCCGGAUUGCUAUAAUCGUUUAAACCUAGAACGAUUUCCGCCGACGCAUGGGAGGGCAAUUUCGUCUUCUGGAAUAACUGGAAAUUUUAACAAUACACCCUCCUCAUUUGGAACAAAUGGGAAUUUUCAUAAUACACCUUCAAGUCACAAUACAAAUGGGAAUUUUAGAAACACACCCUCGGCUAAUCUAAUUUAUGCAGAAGGUCCAACAAUAAUGUGGUACCCCGAUUCAGGGGCGACAUCACACGUUACAGCCGCACCUGAAAAUAUCCAAUACCCCAGAGUGUAUAAUGGUAAAAAUUUUACGUCGAAUGGGAGUCCAUUGUCAAUUUCUUACUCUGGUCAAAGCAGAGCUAUUAUAGAUUUUAAUAAUUUCGUUCUUAAUGAUUUACUACUAGCCUUCGUUCUAAUAUAGUACCGGUAGCCUUCAGACGAAACUACAGGUGCUGGUCCCCAGAUAUCUGCAUAUAUGAUCUCAAGAGGAUAAUUGUAUGUAGAAUUUGUUGCUUUAUGAUUUAUUAAAUGGCUUUUAGCUAUGAUACAUGAUUCACAAUCAGAGAAUUUUUGAGUAGAUGCGAGCCCGAGUCCGAAUUUAUAAAUAAAAGCUCGGUUCGUUUGACACCCUAGUUUACAUUAACAACACCUUAUCUAGAAUAAGUUAAACAUUAUGAAUCAUUCCUACAUUCACUCAAUACUUGUUAUAAAAAGCUUAAAAAACACAACAACAAAAAAUAUCACAACUAAGAAUUAAACUAAAUUUUGCAUGACUUUGAAUUUAACUGUUUUUUCCAUUACAAUUUUAAACAUGAAACCAAUGGCUUUAAAUUGUCCCUUACAUGUUAUUGUUUAGUAUAAAUACCAACUCAAUUCUCACACCUUUACAUCAUCAAUCACUUCUAAUUCUUUUCCAUCCAAUAAAAGACCGCACUUUAUUUUAUUCAAUAACAUUUUGGAAAAAAAAUGAAAUCCUCCUCCGCCAUCCUCCUCCUCCUCCUGGCUUUUUUUCUCUCUGCCACCGCCCAUUCAGCUGAAGCACCUACAAGUUCACCACUUUUAUCGAAUAUUUGUGAGUCUGCCGAGGAUGAUGAUAAAGCAUAUUGUCGUCAUUUCAUGAAUGAUAACCCAGAAUGCUCAGACAUAAAAUGUCUUAUGCAAAAAUCCAUCAGUGAUGCUGACAACGCAGCUUCCCUUUGUCUCGUAAUAGGUUCAGAAACUUUAAAGACAACGAAAUACAUUCGAGCAACCAAAAAAUGCAUCAGACAUUUUGAGUCCAUCGAAGAAAUCAUCAAAGGUGCAGAUACAUUGGUUAAAGAUGAAAAGUAUGAUUUGAUCGCAGAAAAGUAUGAAUUGAUCUACCAUCAUACAGAGAAAUGUGUUGUAGCUUACGGUGCUGGUACAAAUCCUUUCAAUUUGGGGAUGAGGAAGGUCCUUAAAUCUUUGGACGUAGGAACUGUCAUCAUGGAAUAUAAAAAAACUCACUAAAUUGAAGAUGGAGAUCCAAACGAGAUCAUUGAUUAUCUCAAUUAUAUUAUGCUAAUUAUGAGGGAGCGGCUCUUGAUUAUAUAUUCAGCUCAUUGUGAAUUUUUUGUGUGAAUUGAAGUGUCUAAAUUUUACAAAAACAAAUUCUAUUUUCUUUUUUUUGAUAUGAAUUGAAAAAUUUAUUAUCUGUCCUUGUCAAUUAAGAAAACGCUUCAAUUUCACCAUCUUCAUCUGGAGGUCAUUACAAAAAAUAAGACAUUGUAUGACGGAGUUUUGAUGGUGAGAAUCUGCCAUUAUAAGUGAUCAGUGACGGAUUUCCGUCAUCAAAAGACCGUCAGAAAAUCACCAUAUCGUCAUCUAUUAUUCCACCUCAUUUCCCACCAAAAAAUAAUACAUGGUGGAAAUCCGUCACUAAAUCUGAAAUUUUUCACGGGAACUGAAAAUUAUAUGAUGACGGAAAUCCGUCAUGUAUUAUAUGACGCAAAAGAAAUUUGACGUCAAUUUAUCUAUGGCGGUUAAAUACAUUGAUGGUGGAUUUCCGCCAUUCAACUUCAAAACAUACAGUGGCGGAAAUUCGCGAUUAUAAAGCUCAUUAGGGCGGUUGUCUCCAUCUAUCGAUGGCGGAAAUCUGCCACCAAUAACCUUGGAAGGGCGGUUAAAACCCAUCUUUAAAUGACAGAUAUCCGUCAUAGGAAACCCUUAUAGGCGGAAUCACAAACUUGACUUCAAAAUAAACGAAAUGUUUGUCAAGUCCAUGCUGAAAGUUCUGAAUGCUUCAAUCAUCGCCAUAACUGUUGUUCACAUCGACUCCACCUCUUUGUUUACUUUCGAUAAUUUCUUUAUGUUUGUGUUCUGAAAUUUUAAAUAUAUUCCAAAAUUAUAAAAAUGAGUUCGAACAUUUAUGAAAUCAAUUAAAUAAAUUAAUAAUACCUUAAUUUUAAUCAUUUUUGCCGUCCAUCUUAAACGUUCGUCAUUAGAUAAGAAUUAUUUUCAGAGACACUUUUUCCUUUUCAAUCAGAAGUGGCUCAUCUUUCGCUGGUCGUACUAACCGUUGCUGCAAACGAUGUUGAUAUUACAAUUAAUUCAGUUCCACCGAUCACCAGUGCUACCUUCACUGGCGACUUGUCGAAAUUGGUCUACAUCAAAUCUGCAAAGAUUGUCACUUGGUGAACUUUUUCGCCCAAAUAACUAAUAAUUUAUAGAUAAAAUUAAGAAUAUUAAGGCCUAUUAGCUCAGUUGGUUAGAGCGUCGUGCUAAUAACGCGAAGGUCACAGGUUCGAGACCUGUAUAGGCCAUUUUAUUUUUUUAUAAUAAUAGUUUAUUUUAAAUAAAAGUAUUUCAGUAAUAUUUUCUUUUAUAAUCUGGCGGGAAGAGUAGCGACGACCACUCGAGUGCGAUUUCUUUCCGACUUCACGCUGCCUUUUUUCCGAUUGAAAAAAAAAAGAAUUCAGAGUCUGUUCCUACACUUAUUAAAUGGUCUUCUGACGAGCUCUGCAUUAUGGGAAUCGACGAAGGAUCCCGUUUUAGGUAUUUCCUUCCUUUCAAAGUUUCAUUCAUUAUGGAAAUGAUAGUACGGUGGUUGCAGGUCCGAUGGUUUAUGGAUGCAUGUAUUCCCUGUACCAUUUCUUACAAAAACACACUUACAUCUCUAGAAUUUGCAGGUCCGACAUUCCCCCUAAUCAUUUCAGAAUUUGCAGGCCUCUUCUUUUGUAAAAUAAUUAUUUUUGGACAGAUUCAAAGACACUGAAAGAGGAAAAGAGAGAAGAGUUGUUUGAAAAUCUGAAGAUGGACAAUUGCAUUGGAUGGGAAGCUUUCAGCUAAGAUGCUAAAAAAGUGUGUGAAUAAAUCGAUUAUUUAGUAUCCAUCUGACCAUCUAUAUAUAUAUAUCUAUUUUGUAUUUAGUUUUUUCUUAUGUGAAUGAAGUUUUGUUAUCGACAUACACAGGACAAAGAUCAAUCUGAAUGAAAUUUCACACGAUUCGGCAAUGGGGCUUAUCAGAAGGGUUCUUGACUUUGGUGUAAUGUUAACUGAAGUGAACUGAUUGACUCUCAUUCUUGAUAUAUAUUUUCCCAUAAACUCUUAUUUCUUGAAUUUCCAUAAUCAAUUACUGAUCCAAUUGUUUUCCCUUGAUUAGAUCAACUUGGAAACAGUUGGAGAUGUAGACAAGUACAGAAUCAAAAUAUCUGAGAGAUUCCCCGGUAUUAAAAUCGUUGUGUCGUAAAAGGCUGACAGUAUUUACCCAAUUGUUAGUGAAGCUAGCAUUAUCGCAAAGAUUGUAUAACAGACACCUCUUUAUUAUCUAGAAUUAACUUGAAUAACCAAUCAUAUGAUCAAAUCAAUUCAGGUUUCUCAAGAUCUUAACUGGGUGCUUAGCGAAACUGCUAAGAAUAUAGAUAGGAACUUUGGAUCUGGAUACCCAGGAGGUAAAAUAAUUUUCUCUUUUAAAUUUUUCUUUUGCUCAUCAAUUAGUUUAGCAGUAAAGUUUCAUUGGUUGUUAAAAGAAGUCAAAAUCUCCACAAUUCUGUAAUUAGAAUUUAUAAGCAUCUUACUUUCUGCUUUUCAUCAUCAGAUCCUGAAACAAAGACAUAGUUAAAAAGCAACAAACAUUUUGUAUUUGGAUUCCCAUCUCUAGUUCGCAUCAGCUGGGAAUCAUGUUCACCUUAUUCAGACUGUGUUGAAGUUGCAUGGUGGGUUCUUCUGAUCUUGUUAAAAUUUGGUGUUGCUUACUUCAGUUGUUAGAAUUUAAAAAGAUUCUUGGUCAUAUUUGCUAUUUACAGGGAGAAUGAUGAUGAGGAUGCUGAGUCUUCAAGCAAGAGCACUGGUUCCAGUGAUGACGGCGCCACGAGGAAAAAAGGGAAGAAGUGGAACCAGGUAGAUGUAAGCUUCAACUUAUUAAACAUUUCAAAUGAUUUUUGAUCCUUCGUUUUAUUUACCACUACUACUAGUGUUUACUAUGAUUUUUACAAGUGUAAAAAUAUUGUUAUAUUUUUGGUCAGUUUAAAAAAAAAAGUGGCUAUCAUCUUUCUGUUUCCAUUUUCCGCAUGUUGACACGUCAGACUGAACAGUCAACGUUGUUCUUAUCCGCAUCGCAUUCACAUUUUCAUAUCCCGGUGACGUGGUGGGUCCAUCUAAAUGGAUAAGAUUAAAAUAAUCUGUUUGUAGUUGCCACGUCAUUAUCCACCGACCACAGGCAACUACUAUUUAUUACCAUCAUAACCCUGCCUGCUUCAAUUGUUCCGCGUUUGCCAUUCCUCUCUGUUCAGAUAUUUAUAAUCUGAUCUUCUUCUCUCGCCCGAUCACUGCAGUGGCCAUCCAUCUAUGAUCUAUCAAUCGAUCUACGGCUUCUUUGCUACUUAUUUCUUCAAUGGAAGCUUUCCGACCGAAGAAAUCCCCCUUAUCCGAUAGAUUGUUUGGCAGUUUUGCAGCUUCUGAAACCCUAGAAACAGCUGUUCGCGGUAACGACGGUGGUGAGUUGGAUGAGAAGGAAGUUUUCUGUGUAGGUACAGAUUUCUAUUCGAAAUCUUUUCCGUCGGACACUGAGAAUCAUUCCUCGGCAUCUGCCACCAUGUCUCCUUCCGGUAGUUUCCGACUGCUUCCUUCUGUACAGAGUUUCGGCAUUCUCGCCGCCCUCCCGGAGGACAUCAAAUCUCAGAAGAAGAUGCCAGUGCGGAGCAACAGCUUCAUGCAACGGAAAUCCUCUAUGUCGUCGAUGAAUACGACAUCAACCUCGCCGUCUUCUUCGUCGGCGAGGGUGAUGAUUCCGAAGCCGAAGUCAUCGGAGUACAACGGAGGGGCAAUUAUUUUCCCACAGUCCGCACCGAUGAACGUACCGGUUGUGUCUAGAGAGAGUGAGAGAAAUCGGAAUUGGUGGGGGGAGGUUGAUUACGAAUAUGUAAGCGAUGCUGAUGAUGAUGAAGAAGAUGAGGGGAUGCUUCCGCCUCAUGAGAUCGUGGCAAGAGCAUCGCUAAGGGAUUCACCGAUGACAACAUUCUCGGUGCUGGAAGGCGUCGGUAGGACUCUGAAAGGGAGUGAUCUCAGGCGUGUACGCAAUGCUGUCUGGAGACAAACAGGUUUUCUAGAUUGACGGUCAGCCGUCUGUUGUUUGAGUUCUAGAGCAAGUCUUUUUUUUUUGCUGCGUUUUUUCCCGUUGGUUGGUAAAUGGUAACCCAAACAAACAGUGUGUUUUGACUGCAAAAAAUAUCUCUAUUUAACGAGGUGGAUUAUUUAAUUUCCCCACACAAUUUGCACUUUGCCCCAAAGACCAAACCAAAUAACCAAUUAUUCUUGCAGCUUUAAAUAUAUUUUUCUUGGCUAUUGACUUAUUUUUAAGAUAAAAUCAUCUGGUGAUUUUUUUAAUUUAAAAAAAAAUAGUGUCAUGUGCGAAAUAAAAAUAGUGUCAUAAAUGACAUAUUUAAAAUUUAAAUAUCUAAAAUUUUAAAUGGAUAAAUUUUAAAUGGAUAAACUUUUUACCUUGAUUUUUAAAGGACAUGAGAUUUAAUAAUCCUAUAUCUAAUAUAAUAUAAUUUAAUUUAUUAAAAAAGAAGAGCAAAAAUUAUUUUUCAAAAAACCGGAACGACUCGUUCGGGUUUCGCCCUGUCCCCAGACCCGUCCCGGAAUAUGACUGAGGCAACGAAGCAAAAAAAUUAAAAACGAGAUAGAAUAUCUGCCCCGUCCCGUAGCACCCCACCUUAUCUUAUCCAUUACUUUACAACUUACAAUUCCACUAAAUAUUGAUUUCCUCAUUUUCAUGCUUCCAAAUUGAAAUUAAAGAAAUCUUUCCUCAAAAGCUUGUGGAUUAGUUAAUUUUUUUCUUGUACAUCCAUUUAGAAACAUGAUGAUACCAGUCUGCAGUCUUAGUGUCUUACUGGGUUGGUUCAUUAGCCCAGUUUAUGAUCCACGAAUCAGGUGUGGACGCCGGACGUACAACCCAUCCGUAAUUCGUUAGGAACCUGUGUAAAUAUCUCAUCGAUUCACAAACUAUGGAUUUUUCUGUCUGUUGUCGAAAUUUUUUAAAAAAAUCUAAGAACACAAGUGAUGUUUACCCUCACAUGAUAUAUCAGAGUUAUAUAAUGUAUCACUAAAUACAUCGUAAUAAAAAUUACAUACACAGCAAGACUCAAAAACUGAAUCAUCAGAAAUUUUAAUAGUUAUUCAUUUGUGUAAAUUUAUCACAUGUGUCAGGCAAAUUCUAUGGGAAAAUAAUUUAGAAUCGAGUUGAAUUCUAUGGUCGGAGUUAACACUGAAUUCAAUGUGAAAGGAAAAAAUGAGUUUUAUUUCAUAAUAAUCAAAACUAUUAUACACUAAACUAUUCUUAUGAAAAGGAAAUGGUGAGAAAGUUUGGGAGAAUGUAAUUUAAUCCGUCAUUUUCAUUUAAAAACGUUAUUUAAAUCAUUCUGUUCUGUUGAUGGGUAAAAUAUCGAAAAAUCCUCCCCCUUUUGUUUACAAUCGGGGUAUUUAAGGUGAUGGAGGACGUGUGCUGCAUGGACACGUGGUAGGUCCGGUGUCUCCAUGCCGAUGGAAACCGGACAUGCAGCCGUGGUUUUGGCUGCAUGUGCUGGUGUUACGCAAUUGGAUAUCAACAGUUAUUCCCCUCCUAAAAGAAACCAAAAAGAAACGUUCUGCCCGUGGAGAUGGAGACAACGCGAUCCUUGUUGGAAGAAUACGGACUAGAGUUAGUUUAUCUGUAGACCGUGAUCGGGGGCCUCAUGGUUAUGUCAUCGGAUGACGGAUCUGAUGGUCAGCUAACGUCGCUCCUAGAGAGCCUGAACUUCUUGCUUUUCGAUGUGAAAAAAUGUUUCACGCUUCAACCGAAGGCUGACAUUGCCGAACCUAGUCUCUGUGUCUGUGAUGGUGUGUGCGAGUAUCGUGCAUCCAAUUCCACCCCCCAUUCAAGCCGUCGUACGGUGCGCAAAAGCCCGCGCUGAGGUGUUGAUCAUGGAUGGCAGAUCGUCCACUGUCGUUUUCUUUUACUCAUCUUUGUAUCUUGUAAUUUUUAUAGCUUCUUUGUACUUUGUUUGCAUUUGAAUAAUAAAAUGGGUUGUUUGCAAUUUUAGUUUCUUAUGUCUUUAAAAAGAGGGGUGUUGCUGGUUUGUUUGUAAGAGCUGUUCUUCAGGCGAUUUUUACUUGUCGCGUAAUAUGUCUAAAACUUCCCUAAAACUGACACCCUUUUCGACCUGUUUUUCGCGAGGUGUUUGUCGAUCUGGUUCGCCGCUGACGGCUGCUUGGGUGGAAUCAAAUAUGGAUUUUUCUAUUUACUUUCCAAAGUAAGUUUCUUCCUUUUUUCUUGAGAAGAGGGGUGUAAUGAUGCGUUUUUCUUUCUCUCUUUUUUUGGUGAAAAUUUCAAUUUUCUGCCGGCGCUUCCUUCAUCUUGCACUUCCACAGCGUCUCGUCUUGUCACGGUUGCGUCAGAUGGAUUGCGCCAAUCCAUUAAUGUAGAUUCUGAACGUGUCAGGUUUCCUUUCUAAACCCUCCACUUCGCUAUUUAAAUAGCGACCUCAUUCUUCCAUUUUUGCAGCGAGAUUUUGGUACCACCAACCCCCGGGCGUGAAGCGGACAAAAUAGAGCCUGGUGAGGGAAUAUUUUCUCUGUUGUCGUACUGUCGUUCCGAUUAAAUGGCUUUCCUUUUUACUGCUUACCACUCGUUUGCCUUUUUUUUCUUUUUCAGACUAUGCGUUCUUGGAACUUACUGAUUAUUUUGAUAGAGACGCGUUGACUCGCUCGCCACAGCUUAGUGCUCCUUCCCCAUUCCUGGCUAAUUCCCGGAUCUGCCGGUAGGUGAUCUUUCUUUUUUUAUCUCUGUUCUUCAUCAGGUCGUUAACUUCUUAUACAUUUCUUUCUCUUCUUCUUCUUUUUUUCUUUCUCUUUUUUUAAACCACUGAGAGUGACACUCGUGUUGAGACCCCCCCCGGGGGGUGGUACUUCUGUUCCGUCCAAUAUUGUUGCUUGGAGUUUUUUUCCGAUAUCUGUGACGCUAGAUGGCAUGCCGGUUCCAUUUUUCUAUUCCGCUCCAGUGACUACCGCUCGUUGGAAUGGCGUGACAGAGUUUGGGAGGGAUAUAGGGCUCCAUAACCCGGAGUGGAGGUCUCUGCAAUCCGUUCCUUGCCCGACUCUGUUGGAAGGUGCUAUUGCUACAAAUCUAAAUGUGAGAAGAAGAAAAUUCCGAGCUUGUUGUGAUUCUUUCUCCUCUUUUCUUUCUUCUUUCUUUUUUCUUUUAAAAUCUGGUGUUUUCUUGCCGUCGCUGCUUCCUCUCAAGGUUGCCUAUGCUUAGGUUAAUUAUAUGGUGUCGGAGAACGCAAGCUAUCGUACCAAGAAUACCCGUCUUAGCGCCAUGAUGAUUUUGACCAUCGCUUUUAUUUUGACCAUGAUGAUUUCCUUUUUCCUUCUACUAGCGUAGUUGGUGAUUGAAUUGUUCGUAUAAGUAAUGAUGUUAGUAGAAGUACACUACAAAGUAGCGUAUUGGGUAAGUACUAAUAUUAGCAGAAGUACACUACAUAGUAGCGUAGUUGGUGGUUGAAUUGUUCGUAUAAGUAGUGAUAUUAGCAGAAGUACACUACAAAGUAGCGUAUUGGGUAAGUACUAAUAUUAGCAGAAGUACAUUAUAUAUUAGCGUAGUUGGUGAUUGAAUUGUUCAUAUAAGUAGUGAUAUUAGCAGAAGUAUACUAGAAAGUAACGUAAUGGGUAAGUACUAAUAUUAGCAGAAGUAAAUUAGAAAGUAUCGUAUUGGGUAAGUACUAAUAUUAGCAGAAGUAUAUUGCAUAAUAGCGUGGUUGGUAAAUUAACACUUCUUAUAAGUAGUGAUAUUAGAAGAAGUACACUUGAAAAGUAGCGUAUUGGCUAAAUAUUAAUAUUAACAAAAGUACAUUGCAUAGUAGUGUGGUUGGUGAUUUAACACUUCGUAUAAAUAGUCAUAUUAGCAGAAGUACACUAUAAAGUAGCGUAUUGGGUAAGUACUAAUAUAUUUUUAGUCGAUCAUAAACGAACAGAAAAUCUCAUAGUUGAUGUGAAAUCAUAGUAUGAUUGAAUAGCCGAUUGAAAAGAAGAAAAUACUAAAAAGGGAAAAAAAUGUUAAGCAUUUCAUGUAAGAAGCAUAAAGGGAAAAAAAAAUAAAAAUAAAACACACACCUUCAAAUCGAAAGACAAACACACACCUUCAAAUCGAAAGACAAACACAGGGAAAUAUGAUUGUUGGGUUCCAAGAUCAGGAAAAUAUAAUAGAAGGAAAAUGAUGAACAAUUAGGAAGAUUGGAAAAAAAUAGAAGUUGAGAAAAAAAGGAAGUAAAGAAGAUUGAGACAAGGUGACAAUACCGAAUAAAGACAGAUGAAGAGAUAGGAAGGGCAAUAUGGUUGGUGUUAGGACGCUUUGUACAGAGAAAAGAUCGUGUUGACAAAAAUUAUGAGAGGAAAAAAUAUGAAUUUUACAUGAAAGAUUUAUAUUAAUAGAAGAAAAUAUUUAUAUAGCAUUGCAGUUCGAUAAAAUAUAACAACAUCCUUGUGUAAUAGAAGGAGAGAAUUGGGAAGAGAGUAUUCGGAUGGGAUGAAAGAUAAUGACAAGAGGAAAAUGACAAAGAUUUGAACAAAAAAUGCAGCACAACUAGGGGAGUACAAAUGUCAGGUUAGAUGUUGGUAAUGGUAAUGUGAGAGAGAAUAGUUGUAAGAUAUGACUACAAAAUAAAAAUGAAAGUAACAAGAAGAAUGGGAAGUAUUGCUGCAAAGGUAUACCGAAGAAGAAGAAGAAAACAUUUGCCAGACACAGGACAGAGAUAGAAUAGGAGGGAGAGAGAUGGAGGGAGAUAAAAAGAAAUUGUUUCUGGUACGUGAGCGAGAGUGAGAGAAAUAUAUAUAUUUUUUCUUUCUUCCUGACACAAGGUACUGAGGUCAGAAAAAUGAGUGAAUAAAAAAAUUGAAAAAAAAUUGAAAAUACUAAACUGAUACUAUUUUGAAAAGAGUGGUCAAGAUUCAUCAUCAUGGAAUAGACGCAGAUAAAGUUCUCACGUUCGGGUUCUCACCAGAUCUUUUUUGUAUUUACAUAGUGUUGUAGUUUUUCUGAUUAGUGAUAGUACCUUUUAAGAUUGCUCGCAUGCCAGGUUCUUGGGAUUGCUGUUCCGUCUUCAUUGAUUAGCUUGAAUGUGCCGGUUUUCCAUUCUUUUUUAAUAAUGUAUGGUCCCUCCCAAUUUUUUGAUAAUUUUCCCUUGUUCUGCUCUGUCAUUGUUAGGUGAGCAUUUCUAAUUAGUACAAGGUCUCCCGGGGUCAGCUUGUUAUUCCCCACUCUUUUGUUGAAUAUCCUUUCGAUUGAUCUUCUUUUGUAGGUUGUUCCUUCAUUUCUGCUUUUUCUCUGAUAUUUUCUAUGACAUCCAGAUUUCUUGAGAGUUUUUCUUCAUUAAUUUCUUCGUCAUACCCCACGAUUCUAGCCGAGGGCCAAACUAAUUCGCAUGGGGCUACUGCCUCGAGUCCGAACACCAGGUUAAAUGGUGUGUAUCCAUUUGUUGUUUUAAUAGUUGUUCUAUAUGCCCAUAGUACUUCCGGAAUCUUUUCUGCCCAAACUUUAGGAUUCUCAUCUACUUUCUUUUUUAGAAUCUUUAUCAGAGUUUUAUUGGUUGCUUCUACCUGACCGUUUGUUUGAAGAUGAUAGGCUGAGGCGAAACUUAGUUUGAUUUCGUUCUCUUUGCAAAAUUUUCUCAUUCCUCCUCCGGUGAACUGUGUCCCGUUGUCUGUGAUGAUUUGUAUUGGUACACCAAAUCUGCAUACAAUGCUUCUGAAAAUGAAUUUUACUGUGCUUUCUUGAGAUAUUAAUUAUUCUUACAGGUUCUGCUUCUGCCCACUUGGUAAAAUAAUCGAUUGCGCCGAACAAUUUUUUUUUCCCUUGAGAAACGGUUGGAAAUGGCCCUACUAUGUCGAUUCCCCAUCUUGCAAAUGGUAUUGGUGUGAUAAUGCUUGUUAAUUCUGUAGAUGAUAUUUUUGGGAUAUCUGCAUAGAUUUGGCAUUCUUUGCAAUUUUUUAUUAUCUUUUUCGCAUCUCAUUCCAUGUGUGACCAGUAAUAGCCUUGUCGUUGAAUAUGUAGGAAUAACUUCCUUUUCCCUUGAUGGGCUCCGUUUUCUCCGUUGUGUAUGCUUGUUGUUAUCUCCUUUCCUUCUUCUGGUGAUACACAGAUUUUGUAUGGCUGAUCCUUUGAUUAUAUUUCUUUUCUAAAUAGUUCAUUGUUGAUGAUGGUGAAAUGUGCGGAUUGAUUUUUGAUCUUUUGAUUUUUGAUUUUUUCCCCAUUCAGCUUUUCUCCACUUAGGUAUUUGUAUACAGGGGUUCUCCAAUCGGGUUUGUCUAGUGAUACUGAAUAGAUUUUAAAUGAGGGGGUUGCUAUGCUUUCUAAUUGAAUCCAUUUUCUUUCCUUUAAGGUUGAUAGAUUUGCUCCUAACCUGGCUAGGGCGUCUGCAUCUUCGUUUAAACUCCUGUUAAUUAGAUUUAUGUUUAUUUUUUGGAAUUCUUUUAUCAUGGUUGUGACUUGAUCCUUAUAUAAUUUAGGCGUAGGCUCUCGGACCUCGAAGUCUUCGCUUAUCUGACCGUGUACUAAUUGCGAGUCCGUGAAUACUUCUAAUUUCUUAAUAUCUAGGUUUUUAGCUAUUCUUAGUCCUGCUAUGAGGGCUUCGUACUCGGUUAUGUUAUUAGUGGUUUGAAACGUAAAGUUGAAAGCAUAUUCUAUUUUGAUAUUUGCUUGAUCUAUCAAAACUAUGCCUGCUCCACAUUUAUUUUUCCCGAUGAUCCGUCAACGAAUAAUUUUCAAUUCUCGUUUUCUUCAUCUUGACUUUUUGGGGUUAAUUCCACUAAAAAAUCGGCUAAUGCUUGGGCUUUUAUUACUUUUUAUGGUGUAAAUGUUAUGUCGAAUUUGUUUAAUUCUAAGGCUCACUUGCUCAUCCUUCCUGAAAUAUUGGGUCUGUGGAGUGUCUGCAACAAUGGGUACCUAGUUGGGAUGACUAUCGAGUGUGCCUGAAAAUAGGGUUUCAGUCUUCGUGCUGACAUGACUACUGCUAAUGCCAGUCUCUCUAGAGGUGGGUAUGUGUUUUCUGCUCCUUGUAAUUUUUUGGAAAAGUAGAAUACUGGUUUUUGGAUUUUUUCUCUUUCGGUAACUAGAACCGAACUUACAGCGGAAUCUGACACUGCAAUGUAUAGAAACAAAGUUUCUCCUUUCUGUGGUGUUUGCAGUAUCAGGAGUUCUGAAAGUUCCUUUUUAAUAUUAUCUAACGCGUUACUGCACUCCUUAUUCCAUUCGAUUUUUCCUUUGUGCUUCCUAAUUAGUUUGAAGAAAUCCUUACAUUCGUCUGUGGAUCUGGGGAUGAAUCGGUGGAGUGCUGCGAUUUUCCCAUUCAUUGAUUGCAGAUCCUUCAGGUUUUUCGGUAUUUCCAGUUCCCUAAUGGCCUGAAUUUUUGUUGGGUUGGAUUUUAUUCCGUCUAGGGUUAUAAUGUAACCUAAGAACUUUCCUUCCCUUACUCCGAACACACACUUAUCUAACUUUAGUUUUAUACCGAAUUUUCUCAGGUUGUUGAAGGUUUCUUCUAAGUCCUGUGGAUGAUCUUCCUUCGAUUUGGAUUUCACAAAGAUAUCAUCUACCUACACUUCCACAUUCCUGUUGACUUGAUUCUUGAAGAUUUCGUCCAUUAAUCUUUGGAACGUUGCUCCUGCGUUUUUUAAUCCGAAUGACAUCUUAGUGUAGCAGAACGUUCCUAUUUCCGAGAUAAAUGAGGUUUUUUCCUCGUCGUGCUUAUUCAUGGGUAUUUGGUUGUAUCCUGAAUAUGCGUCCAUAAAACUAAGCAACUCAUGACUAGAGCUUCUGUCUAUCAGCUGGUCAAUCCAAGGUAGCGGAUAGCUAUCUUUCGGACAAAAUUUAUUCAGUGACGCAAAAUCGAUACACAUUCUCCAGGUUCCUACAGAUUUCUUAAUCAUAACUAUAUUUGAAAGCUAUAUGGGAUAUUUUACUUCUCUUAUGAAGUCGUUUUUUCUUAACUUCUCUAUUUCUGGGAUAUUGGAAGGUCAGAAGAAGAGAAACGCGCUGUGUUUGAAAUUAGUCAAAGAAUGGGUUUUAAAUUUUUAUGUUAAUAAUAUUUUCUAAACUAGAAGGAUUUUUUCACAAAAUAUCAAAAUUGAUCUCUGUAGUUAGUUAACUGACGACACAAACACGAGGGAUCUGAAAAAGAAAGGGAAGUACCAACAAAGAAUCGAACGGGAGGGAAAGAGGGCAAUCGUCUUGUUAAUCGGACCUUGCGGCGGAGGAAACGUUCACACCAAAAUCACCGACACUGUCCUCUUCCCGUCUAUUCUCUGUCUAUAAAUAGAACUAACACAGCCUGAAGUCGGCGACGUAAGGAUCGCCGCCGUAACUAUUCUGUUUACUCAUCUAUCUGUUUCCCGCUUUUUCUUUCUUUCUCUUUCUUUCCGUUUCCUUUUCAUUUUUUUCUUGUAUGGCGUCGUUUCCACCACUGAUCUCCUCGAUGCAAACUGAAAACGUCACCAUGGCACCCCGGUUUGGAUUUCACAUUCAAUGUACGAUUUCCAAUCCCUAGUUUGUUAGUUAUUAAUUGAAGAUUACCUCCCUCUUAUUUUAUUUUUCACAUAUAAUCUGUACGUUGGAAUUUGUUUCGGUGAUCGAGAGUUAUUCUUUCUCUCCCUGUAUUUUUGUCCUUAUUGAUGGGUUUUUGAGCUCUUAAUUAUUUUUUAUUACUACAACUGAGGUGCAAAUUUAAUUGAAAUGUCUUUUGGUCCUUUCUCUGAUAGUAGUUUUUUUUUUGUGUUUACUGAUGAUGAGCACAAGCUUAUGCAAAGUUUACUUGGCCUUUUUUUUUCUUCUUUCAGAAAUCUCAACUGCUAACCUGUUAUGAUGGCAUUGCCAGAGUCUGAUGUUGUGAAUGGGGGGGAGAGUAACGAUGUUGUAGCAGAUGGUAAAAUUGUGAAGAAUGGUGGCAUAACAAUUCAGUCUUCUUCUUCCAAGAAAAAGUUUGUAUUAAAAGAUACCCUCUCUUUUGCUAACAUUUUAAGAUCAAGGAACAAGUUUGUGGAAGCUCUUUCUAUGUAUCAAACCAUUUUGGAAAAAGAUAGUUCAAAUGUCGAAGCUUAUAUUGGAAAGGGAAUUUGUCUUCAGACGCAGAACAUGAUAAGCGAAUCUUUUGAAUGUUUUAUAGAGGCUAUUAAGCUUGAUCCGCACAAUGCAUGUGCACUUACCCAUUGCGGAAUUCUCUACAAGGAUGGAGGGCUCUUGCAGGAAGCUGCUGAGGUAUGCAUUCUUUUAAUCUCUAAAAUGAUUAUUAUAGUAUUUAUGUAAUUUUCAAAACACUUUAUGGCAUAGGAUAUAAAAAGGUGGGAGCUGUCUUUGCAAAAGUUAUUUUUGUUUGCCGGCAAGUGUUACCAUCUAUAGUUCUGUUUCCAUGUUUGGGUUCAAAUGUUUUUUCUUUCUUUUUCUCAUUCACGUUUGAUGUUUAAAACACUUUAUCGUGCUAAAAUUCUUAUCUCUUUUUUAGUCACCCCUAUUUCAAUUCAAGUAUUUAAAUAAGACUUGGUCAUCUUCUUUGAUGCCAAUAUCUAUAAAAAAUAUCUAGUACUCGUAGAUUGAGGUUAAUGCUUUACUCUCUGAGGAGUCUAAUUCCUUGAGACACUCACCAGAAUCUAUAUAAUGCCAAUGGCAGAGCUAUGUAGUGAUAACAAUCAAUAAUGAUAAGCUCUAAGCUUAUCUCUCAAAUGAUUAUAUCUGGAUUUGGCCCUUUAUUUUAUAUUAAUAGAAUUAUAAAUUUAUACAAAAAAAGUAUUUUUCAUUUUAGCUAUGAGUUAGGAUGGAAACUUGGAAUACUGAUUACAGUAAAAGGACAAGAUAUCUUUUCUGUAUUUUUAUUUAAAGCAGUUAAAUAUUUUCGUUAAGAGAAAAUGAAGGAUAUUUCCCUGAAUACAAUGGAAAUUAGCAUAAGAAUAAAAAUAUGAAAAUUAGUGCAGGACUCAUUUUGACACUUUCCACACAACCAUUUUGCCUAGUAUAGAAACUAGGCUCUCUGCUUCCGGAGGUUGGUCUUCCAUAUCUGUAUCGUGCUAGGUCCCAAGGGACGACAACAUCUCUUCUUGAAGCCCUUGGAUAGGAAAUAUUUAUGUCAUUAAUGACUUCUUUGAGAGCUGUUUCUGGUGGCCGGAAUGAAUGUUGUUGCCAUCUUUUGUUUCUUUCUGCCCAUAUAUGUCAACUCAAGGGUCCAAUCAUAUUCCAUAGUAGGCCCUAAAUUUGAGAGUGCCGUGUUAGCUUUUGACAUGCCUCAGUUAGGUCCCCUAGUCUAAUUUCAGGAUGUGUGAUAGUAGGCGUGGCCGCGUGGCUAUAUUCAUGAUUUUCCAUAAAUUUGUGGGAUGCUUUACUUCUGUGGCAAACCCCCGAGUUUCACGGGUUUAGAGUCAAUGUGCAUGCCUCAUUUCUCACACCAGCUACAUUUUUAUCUUUACUAUGUAUUUUCCUGUUCAAUUUCCAUUCUAAUGGACUUUUAACUUCAUAAAAAAACAAUAAAUAUUUUUUUAGUUCAAUAGGCGAUCUUUGUAACACUAACACUUGUUGCAUUUUCUUACAGACGUAUAAAAAAGCUCUUCAUGAAGAUCCUGGUUACAAACCAGCUGCCGAGUGUCUUGCGAUUGUUUUAACAGACCUUGGAACCACCUUAAAGCUUGCUGGAAACACUCAGGAGGGAAUACAAAAAUAUUGUGAAGCUUUAAAAAUAGACAACAGCUAUGCUGUAAUACCCCAGCUAUAAAACUUCAUUGUUUUCUGUCUGUUGUGUUAAUUUCAAUGAUAUUUUUUCAUGCAGCCUGCUUAUUAUAAUCUAGGGGUUGUAUAUUCAGAAAUGAUGCAGUAUGACAAUGCUCUUACCUGUUAUGAGAAGGCUGCUCUACAGAGGCCUAUGUAUGCAGAAGCAUACUGUAACAUGGGAGUCAUACACAAAAAUCGAGGGGACUUGGAAUCGGCAAUCACUUGCUAUGAGAGGUGCUUCCUUGUUAUAUGUUCAAUUAUUUAGCAUGUGAAUUGUGAAAGAUACAUAACUAAUUUUCAUUUCACAUUUGAUGUAAAUUUUCUUUUCAAUUUUCAGAUGCUUAGCUAUGUCUCCUAACUUUGAGAUUGCCAAAAACAAUAUGGCAAUAGCUUUGACAGAUUUGGGAACAAAGGUGUGUUUGAUCACUUUUCUUGAAUACUUUUUUUUUUGAUAAAGUUGAGGGCUUCUUGAAAACCAUGGCUGAUUGGGUACUUUUUUGUUAUGAUUACAUUUUCAAAAAGUGUCGAUGGGCUCAUGGGUCUGUCCAUCUUUUUCUCCGAUAUGCCAUUUUUCACUUGGCUGUUUAGCUAAGAAAAAAAACUAGUUAUAUAUUUUUUUCCAACGAAAAAUACAGGCUUAAUCAUAUAUUUAUUUUAUUGACCAUUUAUUAUCUUACUGUUUGUUAUACAUGAAUUAAUGCAGGUAAAACUAGAGGGCGAUAUUAACCAAGGUGUGGCUUAUUAUAAAAAAGCCUUAUACUACAACUGCCGAUAUGCUGACGCCAUGUAUAACCUUGGUGUUGCAUAUGGUGAAAUGUUAAAAUUUGAAACUGUAAGUUAUUCCUAUAUGGCUGUAUGUCUAUUUCUCAUAAGGAAAAGAUUAAGAUCAUUAUAUGAUUUUUUCUAAUAAUUGUUGCAUACCAUUUGUGAUCGUGUUAGAUAAUUGAAAUAAAUGCUUUUCUUUGACGUUCUUUUGUGAAGGCAAUCAUAUUUUACGAGCUUGCUUUGCACUUCAAUCCGCAAUGUGCAGAGGCAUGUAAUAAUUUAGGAGUAAUAUACAAAGAUAGAGAUAAUCUUGAAAAGGCGGUGGAGUGUUAUCAGGUGAUUUUUAUGAAUAUUUCAUUUGAUCUUGGAUGUUUUUCAAUUUCGCACUUUUCUGUGUUCUUUGCAAGAUUUGGGUAUUAUAUUACUAUUAACUCUGAUAUUUAUAUAAUAUAUGAACUUGUUAUCUUUCAGACAGCGUUAAUGAUCAAACCAACAUUUUCUCAGUCUCUAAACAAUCUUGGUGUUAUCUACACUGUCCAGGUCAAUCUCCUGAUCCUCCUCUUUCAUUCAUAUUAUUUUUGUGAAGUGGAUGCAUAUGGUGAGAAAUUCCUUGUUUUUUACAGGGGAAAAUGGAUUUGGCGGCUAACAUGAUUGAAAAAGCAAUUGCUGCCAAUUCCACAUAUGCAGAAGCAUAUAACAAUUUGGGUACCAGCUAUUCUUUACUAUUAUAUUUUUUGUAAUCGUGAAUUAUUAGCAUUGAAGAUCUUUGUCAUACAUUUCUAGUAAAAGGGAUUACCUAAUAGCAUGUAGUCAUGUAAAUAAGUACUUAACUAUGUAGAGUUAAGUAUAAGAUAUAUCUUAUAUUUAAAAAAUUCUAUAUUUAUAGAGUAACAUUUAUAUUUAUGCAUACAUUUCAUUCAAUUUGAUUAUUGAGAUAUAUUAUACUUCUGCAGUUCUGCUGUUAUUACUUUGCUCGAGUUAAUAUUUUCCUUGGUAACACAUCCAAUCUCCAAAUUCUCUAUGUUUAGGUGUUCUCUAUAGAGAUGCAGGAGACAUUGCCUUAUCUAUUGAUGCGUAUGAGAAGUGCCUUCAAAUUGACUGUGAUUCACGUAAUGCUGGCCAGGUAGUGCAUAAAUGGCAUAAUUGUUCUUAUUAAAAAAUUAAAAAAAGUUAAUUUUUAAUCAGCUUAAAUGUCUUGUUCAUUUGUUAACUGGAUCUAUUCAAUUUUUCUUUAUUAACCCUACCAUGUGUCAUGUGUGCUAGUAAAACAAGGUAGCCUAUUUUGAAACAUUGAGGUUCUGUCACUUUGUCAGUUUACUUGCAAAUAUAUUCACGAUUUUUUUGUAUCCAAAAAUAUACAUGUGAAUUUUAUUUUUCUUACACAAUCCAAAAUUAACAUCAUGUUAAAACUUUUUUUUUUGAAAGCAACGUCAUGUUAAAACUUGAAUUUAGUACAAUAAGGUAAAAAUAUGUUCGUUUUUAAAAUGUCAACUCAUCAAUUUAUUAUAAAUUUAUAAUUGGGACUUAGGUAGAAAUGCAUUUUUCCUAGUUAAUAGUUACAAGAUGCCAAGAUGGUACAUUCUAAAAAAGGAUGAUAGAUGGUAGUAAGUAGUAAGUUAUUUUGUAGACAAUAUGUUCAAUUAAAAUAAUCUUUCUGUUGAAACAUAUUUCUAUAAAUUGGGAUACUUUUUUUAUUUUUCAAAUUUUAACAAAUCAUUUUUUUCUAUCUAAUAAUUUAUCUGGUUGAUACAUCAUUAAGAUGUUUACAGUUUACUUCUUUUCACAAUUCUGUUUUCCUUUUCAGAAUCGUUUGCUAGCAAUGAACUAUGUAAAUGAGGGCGAUGAUGAUAAACUUUAUGAAGCUCACAGGUAGUUAUUCUCUAAUACACUUUCUAUUUCUCUCAGACCACAUGUGUCAUGAUAGUACUCCUGUACUUGAUGAAUUUAACACUUUCACUGGCUUGGGUAUAAACAGAGGAAAUAUUUCCAUGACUUUAUCAAAAGUAUGCCAGGGGGAUGAACAAUUAAUAAACAUACUGGGUUUCCAAGAAAAACACCUACCAAUCAUGUAUCUAGGCCUUCGGCCUUCCUAUUACAGGGAAGAAAAAAAUCCAUAAUCAAUGAUGGAAAUUAAUACAACCAGUAGAAAAACUGUUAUCCAAAUGAAAAUAAUGCAGGAUCAAUUAAUCCCACAGAUCAGAGAUUCAAUCAACUAGACAAGAUGGUGUUCUUGGUGAUUUGUGAUUGUAGGUUGAAUAAAUCUGGAUCGGAAAAUAGUAGGGAAAAUAGAAGGAAUUGACAGAAAGAAAAUGGGAGUAAAGGAUAGAGAACAAAGUAAAGGAGUACCUGAAUAAUGGUAUCAAGAAUUGCUCCUCUUUUCAGGUCCACUAUAUUUAUACUCAGGAGUCAGGACCAGGGUUAGAGGACAUGAUCACAGGACCACAGUAUGAGUGUGUGUGGUUCAGAGGUUGAACACACAGGCUCGAGCUAUUCUUAGGCCUCAUUUGGGGUCUGCUCUAUAUAAUUAGUUAAAUAUAGAUGUUGCUCUACAUCAGAAAGGGAAAAUACUUAUCGUACAGGGGUAGAAUACAAUUGGUAAACUGUAUAGUGGCUGGAAUGUAUAUAUACUGGGCACAGGGUACCACAUUACCAUGUUUAGUAGUAACCAAGGUUAGGAAGCUGCAUACCAGUUCAUAAUGGAUGGAAGAAAAGGGAUACCAUGAGAAAAAAUGGUUCUCCCAAAGAUGGAAGGUGGGCUAGGGGUCAGGAACUUUCCAGUUAUAACUAGGGCAGUGGCUAUAAAAAGAGCUGCCAACUUUUGGGGAGAGGGGAACUCUAUAUUGAUCAGUUGGGUCAAGAAAAGAUACAUAAGAGAACAAGCAUUAGAAAAUACACAGAUCAGACCAACAGUUGACUCUCUAAUGUGGAAACAACUCAUCGGCCAAAAAGUGGAAUUAGGAGAGAUAAUGAGUUGUGAGGCAAAUUACAUUAUUAUUUGGGAGAAAGUUAGGGUCUUAGGGAACUUUAUCCAACUAAUCAGACUUACUAGCCACAAGGGUCAAUUGGCACAAGGAAUAUGGCGAUGUGCCGGUAUCCAGACCCAAAAUUAUCUGCUAUGCAAUAAAGAUGAGAAAACAAUUAGCCAUCUCUUCUUUAAUUGGGAGUACAUGGGGGACAUCCUCAUUAGAGUUAUUGAAACAUUAGGACAGUUCAUUUGGAAAAUAACUAAUGUUCCAAUUCCUACACUCAACAUGGACAUCAGAAUUGGAGACCUUAUAGAGGCUUGUCAGAAUUCAGAAAUUCUUUAAAGAUACGCUAUGCUGGGGGCUGCAAUAUUGCAAUGGAAUAUUUUAGGGAGUACAACAUGGAAAAUAUGGGUUGAAAGGAAUAAAAGACUUAUGAACCAUAUACUUAGAAAUAUAAAAUAUGCUAUUAUGCAUUAAUGAUUUACCAUUCAUAAUU